RNAcentral lists this ribosomal RNA (497 nucleotides) under uncultured bacterium. RNAcentral describes it as "partial 16S ribosomal RNA". It matches the Rfam family "Bacterial small subunit ribosomal RNA", at positions 28 to 507 of the family's 1533-position model. The record is from RNAcentral.
GAUGAACGCUGGCGGCGUGCCUAAUACAUGCAAGUCGAGCGAACAGACGAGGAGCUUGCUCCUCUGACGUUAGCGGCGGACGGGUGAGUAACACGUGGAUAACCUACCUAUAAGACUGGGAUAACUUCGGGAAACCGGAGCUAAUACCGGAUAACAUGUUGAACCGCAUGGUUCAACAGUGAAAGACGGUUUUGCUGUCACUUAUAGAUGGAUCCGCGUCGCAUUAGCUAGUUGGUAAGGUAACGGCUUACCAAGGCAACGAUGCGUAGCCGACCUGGGAGGGUGAUCGGCCACACUGGAACUGAGACACGGUCCAGACUCCUACGGGAGGCAGCAGUAGGGAAUCUUCCGCAAUGGGCGAAAGCCUGACGGAGCAACGCCGCGUGAGUGAAGAAGGUCUUCGGAUCGUAAAACUCUGUUAUUAGGGAAGAACAAAUGUGUAAGUAACUAUGCACGUCUUGACGGUACCUAAUCAGAAAGCCACGGCUAACUACGUG